This 490-nucleotide ribosomal RNA is filed under the name uncultured bacterium. RNAcentral's name for it is "partial 16S ribosomal RNA". It matches the Rfam family "Bacterial small subunit ribosomal RNA", at positions 28 to 523 of the family's 1533-position model. The record is from RNAcentral.
GAUGAACGCUAGCGACAGGCCUAACACAUGCAAGUCGAGGGGCAGCACUUCGGGUGGCGACCGGCGCACGGGUGAGUAACGCGUAUGCAACCUACCCAUAUCAGGGGGAUAGCCUCCCGAAAGGGAGAUUAAGACCGCAUAAGAUUGUAGUAAAGCAUUUUACAGCAAUUAAAUAUUCAUAGGAUAUGGAUGGGCAUGCGUUUCAUUAGCUUGUUGGUAAGGUAACGGCUUACCAAGGCAACGAUGAAUAGGGGUUCUGAGAGGAAGGUCCCCCACACUGGGACUGAGACACGGACCAGACGCCUACGGGAGGCAGCAGUGAGGAAUAUUGGUCAAUGGACGAGAGUUUGAACCAGCCAAGUCGCGUGAAGGAAGAAUGCGUUAUGCGUUGUAAACUUCUUUUGUCAGGGAAUAAAAAGCGGGACGAGUCCCUAAUUGCAAGUACCUGAAGAAUAAGCAUCGGCUAACUCCGUGCCAGCAGCCGCGGUAA